This 1367-nucleotide ribosomal RNA is filed under the name uncultured bacterium. RNAcentral describes it as "bacterial SSU rRNA". It matches the Rfam family "Bacterial small subunit ribosomal RNA". The record is from RNAcentral.
AAUGCAUGCAAGUCGAACGAAAGCCCUUCGGGGCGAAAGUGGCGAAAGGGCGAGUAAUACGAUCGAACGUACCCCAAGGUGGAGGAUAGUGUCGGGAAACUGACGGUAAUACUCCAUGUGCUCUUCGGAGGAAAGCUUUGGCGCCUCGGGAGCGGCGAUCGUCCUAUCAGGUAGUUGGUGAGGUAAUGGCUCACCAAGCCGAAGACGGGUAGCGGGUGUGAGAGCAUGACCCGCCGCAUCGGGACUGAGACACUGCCCGGACUCCUACGGGAGGCUGCAGCGACGAAUCUUCCGCAAUGGGCGCAAGCCUGACGGAGCAAUGCCGCGUGUGGGACGAAGCGUCUUCGACGUGUAAACCACUGUCAGAAUCUAGGAACACUGACCAGAUUCAAAGGAAGGGCCGGCUAACCUCGUGCCAGCAGCCGCGGUAAUACGAGGGGCCCGAGCGUUAAUCAGAAUCACUGGGCUUAAAGCGUGCGCAGGCGGUCCAGCAAGCGUCUUGUGAAAUCCCUCGGCUCAACCGGGGAAGUGCAGGGCGAACUGCUGGACUUGAGGCAGGUAGGGGCUGAUGGAACCAUGAGUGGAGCGGUGAAAUGCGUAGAUAUUCAUGGGAACGCCGAUGGGGAAGCCGAUCAGCUGGGCCUGUCCUGACGCUCAGGCACGAAAGCGUGGGGAGCAAACAGGAUAAGAUACCCUGGUAGUCCACGCCGUAAACGAUGCACACUAGGUCGGGGCAGCUCUGACGCUGUCUCGGCCGAAGGAAAACUAUUAAGUGUGCCGCCUGGGGAGUACGGUCGCAAGGCUAAAACUCAAAGGAAUUGACGGGGGCUCACACAAGCGGUGGAGCAUGUUGCUUAAUUCGAGGCAACGCGAAGAACCUUAUCCUAGGCUUGACAUGUAUGGAUUAGCUGUUGGAAACUUCAGUAACGCCCUUGGGGUGGAACAUAAAACAGGGUGCUGCAUGGCUGUCGUCAGCUCGUGCUGUGAAGUGUCGGGUUAAGUCCCUUAACGAGCGCAACCCCUGUCGUUAGUUGCCAACGCGUAAUGGCGUGCACUCUAGCGAGACUGCCGGUGUCAAACCGGAGGAAGGUGGGGACGACGUCAAGUCCUCAUGGCCCUUAUGCCUAGGGCUGCAAACGUGCUACAAUGGCACGGACAGAGCGAGGCGAUCCCGCGAGGGUGAGCAAAUCGCAAAAACUGUGCCCCAGUUCGGAUAGCAGGCUGCAAUUCGCCUGCUUGAAGUUGGAAUCGCUAGUAAUCGCGGAUCAGCUACGCCGCGGUGAAUGUGUUCCUGAGCCUUGUACACACCGCCCGUCACGUCAUGGAAGCCGGGAGCGCCCGAAGUCACGCCGUCUCAGGCGUGCCUA